GCCUGGCUGGCUCACUCGGUGGAGCAUGUGACUUUUGAUCUUGUGGUUGUGAGUUUGAGCCCCACGUUGGGUG
Molecule: transfer RNA, 73 nt
Filed under: Canis lupus familiaris (dog)
Lineage: Eukaryota; Metazoa; Chordata; Mammalia; Carnivora; Canidae
Also listed under: 3 other names
Rfam family: tRNA
About the family: Transfer RNA (tRNA) molecules are approximately 80 nucleotides in length. Their secondary structure includes four short double-helical elements and three loops (D, anti-codon, and T loops). Further hydrogen bonds mediate the characteristic L-shaped molecular structure. tRNAs have two regions of fundamental functional importance: the anti-codon, which is responsible for specific mRNA codon recognition, and the 3' end, to which the tRNAs corresponding amino acid is attached (by aminoacyl-tRNA synthetases). tRNAs cope with the degeneracy of the genetic code in two manners: having more than one tRNA (with a specific anti-codon) for a particular amino acid; and 'wobble' base-pairing, i.e. permitting non-standard base-pairing at the 3rd anti-codon position.
Source: Rfam by way of RNAcentral